AGAAUCAACGCUGGCGGCGUGCCUAACACAUGCAAGUCGAACGAGAAAGUGGAGCAAUCCAUGAGUAAAGUGGCGACCGGGUGAGUAACACGUGACUAACCUACCCUAGAGUGGGGGAUAACCUCGGGAAACCGGGGCUAAUACCGCAUAACAUCGCAAGGGGAAGAUCCUUGCGAUCAAAGAAGCAAUUCGCUCAAGGAGGGGGUCGCGGCUGAUUAGCUAGUUGGUGAGGUAACGGCCCACCAAGGCUUAGAUCAGUAGCCGGCCUGAGAGGGCGCGACGGACCGACGACCUGGAACGUGAAACACGGUCCAGACUCCUACGGGAGGCAGCAGUGGGGAAUUUUGCGCAAUGGGGGAAACCCUGACGCAGCAACGCCGCGUGGAGGAUGAAGUCCCUUGGGAUGUAAACUCCUUUCGAUCGGGACGAUAAUGACGGUACCGGAAGAAGAAGCACCGGCUAACUCUGUGCCAGCAGCCGC
This 481-nucleotide ribosomal RNA is filed under the name uncultured bacterium. RNAcentral describes it as "SSU rRNA". It matches the Rfam family "Bacterial small subunit ribosomal RNA", at positions 26 to 518 of the family's 1533-position model. The record is from RNAcentral.